CCCAAGAGAUCGGGAUAACACCUGGAAACAGAUGCUAAUACCGGAUAACAACAGAUGAUGCCUAUCAACUGUUUAAAAGAUGGUUCUGCUAUCACUCUUGGAUGGACCUGCGGUGCAUUAGCUAGUUGGUAGGGUAACGGCCUACCAAGGCGAUGAUGCAUAGCCGAGUUGAGAGACUGAUCGGCACAUUGGGACUGAGACACGGCCCAAACUCCUACGGGAGGCAGCAGCG
RNAcentral lists this ribosomal RNA (232 nucleotides) under uncultured Lactobacillus sp. Its description in RNAcentral is "partial 16S ribosomal RNA". It matches the Rfam family "Bacterial small subunit ribosomal RNA", at positions 129 to 356 of the family's 1533-position model. The record is from RNAcentral. Lineage: Bacteria; Bacillati; Bacillota; Bacilli; Lactobacillales; Lactobacillaceae.